This 395-nucleotide ribosomal RNA is filed under the name uncultured bacterium. RNAcentral's name for it is "partial 16S ribosomal RNA". It matches the Rfam family "Bacterial small subunit ribosomal RNA", at positions 355 to 755 of the family's 1533-position model. The record is from RNAcentral.
UGGGGAAUAUUGCACAAUGGGCGAAAGCCUGAUGCAGCAACGCCGCGUGAGGGACGACGGCCUUCGGGUUGUAAACCUCUUUAGCUAAGGAAGAAGCGAAAGUGGACGGUACUUGCAGAAAAACGCGCCGGCUAACUACGUGCCAGCAGCCGCGGUAAUACAGUAGGGGCGCAAAGCGUUAUCCGGAAAUUAUUGGGCGUAAAGAGCUCGUAGGCGGUUUGUCGCGUCUGCUGUGAAAACCCGAGGCUCAACCUCGGGCCUGCAGUGGGUACGGGCAGACUAGAGUGCGGUAGGGGAGAUUGGAACUCCUGGUGUAGCGGUGGAAUGCGCAGAUAUCAGGAAGAACACCGAUGGCGAAGGCAGAUCUCCUGGGCCGUAACUGACGCUGAGGAGCG